This 304-nucleotide ribosomal RNA is filed under the name Pelobates cultripes (western spadefoot toad). Its description in RNAcentral is "SSU_rRNA_microsporidia". It matches the Rfam family "Eukaryotic small subunit ribosomal RNA", at positions 166 to 470 of the family's 1831-position model. The record is from RNAcentral. Lineage: Eukaryota; Metazoa; Chordata; Amphibia; Anura; Pelobatidae.
AAUAUUGGGACAUAUAAAACAAGACAACUCUUUUCCGCUGAGUAGCUGUUGACAUUAUAGUUGCGCAGGAUCUUUGUUGAUUCUAGAGAACCUCGGGCAAAUCGCACAUCCCUGUGGCGGCGACUUUGCAUGGGGAUGUCAUCCAUAUCAACUUCUCGAUGCCAGUUUCUGCGCCUACCAUGGUGACCAUGGGUAAUGGGGAAUCAGGGUUCCAGUCCAUACAGGGACCCUGAGAAAUGGCUACCACAUGCAAGGAAGGCAGCAGGCGCGCAAAUGACCCACUCACGACGCGGGAAGGUAGUGA